Molecule: small nucleolar RNA, 108 nt
Filed under: Helianthus annuus (common sunflower)
Lineage: Eukaryota; Viridiplantae; Streptophyta; Magnoliopsida; Asterales; Asteraceae
Description: Plant small nucleolar RNA R71
Rfam family: Plant small nucleolar RNA R71
About the family: R71 is a member of the C/D box family of snoRNAs containing the C (UGAUGA) and D (CUGA) box motifs. Multiple nearly identical copies of this snoRNA have been identified in Arabidopsis, and it is thought to function as a 2'-O-ribose methylation guide for 18S ribosomal RNA.
Source: RNAcentral
AGGCCAUGAUGGGGACACUUGCGUAAUAGCUCCUUGAACCUUUCCCAUGUUUCAUAUAAGGAUUCCCCGUCCUCUUGUGAGUAUGUGUUAAUUUCAGCCAGGGAGGGU